CUAGUGUAUAUUAUUUAGGGGGGGCUGGGAGUUAAAGUGAUAAUCCUCAUAAAAUUUCCCUAUGCAACAGUUUCCAAAUCGCUGUNNNCUCUUUUAAAAUCGGGAUUUAGGUUUUUCCUCAUGGGUCAAGUGAGAAAGAAUCCACUUUAGGGGCUUCCUGGGUCACAUUAGCAAAAUAGACGUACUUAAAAGUAAGUCUUAAAGUAAGACUGAAAUCAUUAAUGCAGGGACAAAUCGCUCGGUGACUCUGAAAAGAGUAAGCCGCAACAAGGUAAGAGUACUGGAAGGUGCUCU
RNAcentral lists this ribosomal RNA (294 nucleotides) under Xiphinema americanum. RNAcentral describes it as "partial 12S ribosomal RNA". The record is from RNAcentral. Lineage: Eukaryota; Metazoa; Nematoda; Enoplea; Dorylaimida; Longidoridae.